RNAcentral lists this ribosomal RNA (454 nucleotides) under uncultured Anaerolineaceae bacterium. RNAcentral describes it as "bacterial SSU rRNA". It matches the Rfam family "Bacterial small subunit ribosomal RNA", at positions 918 to 1380 of the family's 1533-position model. The record is from RNAcentral. Lineage: Bacteria; Bacillati; Chloroflexota; Anaerolineae; Anaerolineales; Anaerolineaceae.
CGGCCCGCACAAGCAGCGGAGCGUGUGGUUUAAUUCGUUGCUACACGAAGAACCUUACCUGGGUUUGACAUAAUGGUGGUAGGGAUCCGAAAGGUGACCGACCCUUCGGGGAGCCAUUACAGGUGUUGCAUGGCUGUCGUCAGCUCGUGUCGUGAGAUGUUCGGUUAAGUCCGCUAACGAGCGCAACCCUCGCUGUGUGUUAUAUGUGUCACACAGGACUGCUGGUAUUAAAGCCGGAGGAAGGUGGGGACGACGUCAAGUCAGCAUGACCUUUAUAUCCAGGGCUACACACACGCUACAAUGGUCAGUACAAUGGGUUGCCAAGCCGCGAGGCGGAGCCAAUCCUAAAAAGCUGGCCUCAGUUCAGAUUGCAGUCUGAAACUCGACUGCAUGAAGUCGGAGUUGCUAGUAAUCGCAGAUCAGCAACGCUGCGGUGAAUACGUUCCCGGGCCUU